Arabidopsis thaliana (thale cress) is the source of this 426-nucleotide long non-coding RNA. RefSeq annotates it as other RNA. The transcript has a single exon. The record is from RefSeq. Lineage: Eukaryota; Viridiplantae; Streptophyta; Magnoliopsida; Brassicales; Brassicaceae.
CUCCAGUACAUUCCAAGACGUCACAACUUCCUCUCCAAGUUGACAAGAUACAAGGCCCACCUCACUCACCUUAUUUGGACAUAUUCUACAAUUAAUGUCCAAUAUUUUCAUUUAUGCUUUGUUUCUUUCUUUGAAGUCUUAGACAUUGUACUCAGCUCUAUAUAAGUUGAUUUCUCAUUCAUUGUAAAGCACCCUUGAUCAUUUUAAAGUAAUAGAAAAUGUUUUCUUGUCAAAGUUGAGUCUUUGUCAUUUGUUCUGUAGUUCUUUGUGAGUGAGUCACUAAGUACUUCAGGAAUCUGCGGAUUAAGUUUGUUGAGUGAUUCAACAUCCUUUAUUUGUUCAUUGAUCGAGUGAGUCGAUUAACCCACUGAUUGAGCGAGUCAAUCACCUUUCUAUCCAUCAUUUCCCCUUGAAUUGAUUCCACAC